This 2359-nucleotide long non-coding RNA is filed under the name Helianthus annuus (common sunflower). Its description in RNAcentral is "hypothetical non coding rna". The record is from RNAcentral. Lineage: Eukaryota; Viridiplantae; Streptophyta; Magnoliopsida; Asterales; Asteraceae.
UUUCUUUUCUUCUUCUCUCUAUACGUUGGUGUUCUAACCAAUAAUCACUGAUGUGAUAUUCUGUCCGAUCGAUUCGGGAACCAAUUAACGAAUGCCAAAGUGCUGUCUAAAUAAGACUAUACUUUGUGAAUUUCGUUAAGGUUCUGAUCUCGUGACCAUCGUUAGGUUUGAUGUGGUUUUACACUAAUAUGUAUUCCACUCUGUUAAGCUAAAUGUUUAACUAUCAGAAAACUCCGGUCCAUAAACCUACUAUCAAACAAGAUGUAUAAUCAUCAGAAGACUUAGAAUCAAGCUGCUUGUUUAAUCAAGACUAUAUGCUAACAAGGUGAUUACAGUAGAUUGGAAUAAGAGUGAUGAUACGGCACCGAAAGGCUUAAAGAAGUGGCUUAUUUUAUCAAUUAAAUUAAAUUAAGAAAACAUUAUUUCAUAUAUUCGGGUUUAUCCCAUAUUAAAGCUACCUUUGUAAAACAUGGGUUUAUUCUCAUAUGUUUAAUAAAUAAAAUCCGGUGUUUCUAAACUCUGGUAUUUUCCUAACUCACAGUCCUGAUGAAAUUUUCCGCUGCAAUAUUUUCAAAAUAACCACCGGUACCACUUGACUGCUCGCGGCUCCCGUCCAGGGCAUGGUCGGGGGCCGUGACAAUAUUUGAUGGUAAAAAGGAUAAAAUGGUAAUCCGGUCACGUGUUGACAAAUAAAUAUAGUUUCGAAAAAAACACCCUAUGGUGUAAGCCACAAAGGGUCGAAAGAAUUAAGAAACGACUUUAAGUAGUAUGAUCAUAUGGUGUAAAUCAAAACGGACUAAAUGGUGAGAUGGUAAAUAAAUAACAUCUCAUAAUGGUAAAAUGGUCAUUUAGGCCAAACGGGUCAAAUGGUGAUGUUAUCAUCAUUUGCCAAUAAUGACUAAUGGUCGCUUGUCGAGUUUUGUGCCCAUAGGAAGGAUAGCGUAUGACUUGCAUUGCUAUUAAUUAGCAAUUAAUAGUGCAAGGUAUUAAAAACAGGUCAAUGCUAAGACCCGAGCUAGGUAUGUGUUAUGGGUCAAACACUCAAUGAGGACUUAAGGUCCGACGAGAGUUAAUCGAGUCACGGGCGGGCUUUGGAUUACCUAUAGUGAGGUAUAUCAAAUAAUUUGAAAAUUUGGAACAUCAUGUUCUUAGGAAUUCAACAAUUUAAAUAUAUCAACGGUUAAGGUGUUUAUUUGGUCAAAAUAUGCGUCUAAAAGUCCUUCGUGGUAAAAAGUACUAAGUUGACCAAAAUGCCCUCGAAUGAUAAACCGGGAAAAACAACCCUUAAGGGUAGUUUAAUAUAAAUUCUAUAAUUCAGUCGAUCCUUAUGAUAAUAUAAAAUGGAAGGUUUACACCAUUUCGGCAUAAUGCUACAUAAUGGGUCAAUUUCGUAAAGUUGUCAUACUUGUGGAUAUCAUAGGAGUAUAAUGAUAUUCUAUCACGAUCCAUCAAAUUGAAGAUGUGUUGAUAAAUAAAUAAAGAUAAUAUAGUGAAAACGCAGAUUUUAAAUGGACAUUAAGAUAUGGGUCAAUUAAGUCUUUGUUUGAUUUGAAUAAUCAAACGGGUCAAAAUAAAUGCGAAGACGCAUACUGGAUAACAGAUGGGUAAAACUCAUGGAUAGUAGCCUAAGAAUGGGGAAUAUUCAUAGAUUUGAUAUUCGUAUGAAUAAGAUGUAAUUAAGUGAGUUUGUUGUUAAAAAAACACAAACGGGUCAAUUUAUUUCGUAAAUAAAUAUUAAGCCGAAAGCUUAUAAUUCGAGAAUUUUAUUAAUCCGGAUGACGGAUUUUAAGUCUAAUUGGUAGAUGAUUAAAUUACAAUCACAUAGAAACAAAAAAGAGGUCAAACGGAUAAGCGGUUUAAAAGUUAUGGUCGUUUUUGUACGAAAGGGAAAAAUAGAGAAAACAAACCAGCAGAGGCAAACCGUAACCUACGGUCGAGGACCGUAGGCUACGGUGGAAACAAAAAGGGUCAGCAGUUAUGGACCGUAACCUAGGUGGUGGACCGUAGGUUAUGGUGAAGGCCUCCUGUUCGAAUUUUAAUAAGGGAACCGUAAGCUACGGUUACUCACCAUAGCUUACGGCGGGUAAUUCAAAAUUUUGUUUUCUUGUUUCUUGAGUGUUACACAUUAUUAAACCUCAAAUCAACAAUCUAUAUCUAACAUAUUUAGGUCAAUGUUAUGUUGAAGACGGAUGGGAUCAAGCUCGUACAAGAACCGAACACAUAUAAAGUUGAAGCUUCCGCUUUUUGGUUUUAGAUGUUUUCUAUGAACCGAACUAUGCUAUCAUUUUGUAAAUGUUUUAAACACUUAUGGUUUUAAAUAACCUGUAAGAUUGUUUGAAUAAUAUUAUAUAAAUCGUAU